Molecule: ribosomal RNA, 253 nt
Filed under: uncultured bacterium
Lineage: Bacteria
Description: partial 16S ribosomal RNA
Rfam family: Bacterial small subunit ribosomal RNA
Source: RNAcentral
UACGGAGGGAGCAAGCGUUACUCGGAAUUAUUGGGCGUAAAGGGCGCGUAGGCGAUUUGAAAAGUCUUGUGUGAAAGCCCCGAGCUUAACUCGGGAAGUGCACAAGAAACUGUUGAAUUUGAGUUCCGGAGAGGAAGGCAGAAUUCCCGGUGUAGCGGUGAAAUGCGUAGAUAUCGGGAGGAAUACCAGUGGCGAAGGCGGCCUUCUGGACGGAUACUGACGCUGAGGCGCGAAAGCCAGGGGAGCAAACAGG